GUACCGCGCGCGCGUCGAGGCCGAGCUCUCCGGGAUAUGCACGGGGAUCCUGCGCCUCCUCGAUGGGCGCCUCGUGCCGGCGGCGGCGGCCGUGGACGCCAGGGUCUUCUACCUCAAGAUGAAGGAGGACUACCACCGCUACCUCGCCGAGUUCAAGACUGGCGCCGAGCGCAAGGACGCCUACUCGCCUCGUCUUCUCCAAUCUCCACACACACUCUCACUGCGCAAAACGAGCAGGCGGGCGGGCAACCAACCAACCAACCCCCACUCGCCUCCCUCUCCCUCGCCGUUGCCGCUGAGCACCGCGCCGCGGGUUCCCCGUCGCCAUGGAGAGCGCCCACAAGAUCGGAGGCGGGAGCGCGCCCGGUAA
This 370-nucleotide unclassified non-coding RNA is filed under the name Zea mays. RNAcentral describes it as "misc RNA Zm00001eb007620". The record is from RNAcentral. Lineage: Eukaryota; Viridiplantae; Streptophyta; Magnoliopsida; Poales; Poaceae.